Molecule: ribosomal RNA, 583 nt
Filed under: uncultured fungus
Lineage: Eukaryota; Fungi
Description: eukaryotic LSU rRNA
Rfam family: 5.8S ribosomal RNA (bases 170-323)
Source: RNAcentral
UCCGUAGGUGAACCUGCGGAAGGAUCAUUACCUAGAGUUUGUGGGCUUUGCCCACUGUCUCUUACCCAUGUCUUUUGAGUACUUACGUUUCCUCGGUGGGCUCGCCCGCCGGUUGGACAAUUUAAACCAUUUGCAGUUGCAAUCAGCGUCUGAAAAACAUAAUAGUUACAACUUUCAACAACGGAUCUCUUGGUUCUGGCAUCGAUGAAGAACGCAGCGAAAUGCGAUAAGUAGUGUGAAUUGCAGAAUUCAGUGAAUCAUCGAAUCUUUGAACGCACAUUGCGCCCCUUGGUAUUCCAUGGGGCAUGCCUGUUCGAGCGUCAUUUGUACCUUCAAGCUCUGCUUGGUGUUGGGUGUUUGUCUCGCCUUGCGCGUAGACUCGCCUCAAAUCCAUUGGCGGCCCUCACGUCGGCUUCGAGCGCAGCAGAAACGCGAACUCGUGGCUCGGCGGAGCGGCUCCCAGAAGCUACUCUCACCAUUUUGACCUCGGAUCAGGUAGGGAUACCCGCUGAACUUUAAAGCAUAUCAAAUAAGCGGGAAGGGAAGUCGGACUGGCCAAGGGGCACACCAGGGGGGGGGGAUA